This 1267-nucleotide ribosomal RNA is filed under the name uncultured bacterium. RNAcentral describes it as "bacterial SSU rRNA". It matches the Rfam family "Bacterial small subunit ribosomal RNA", at positions 9 to 1253 of the family's 1533-position model. The record is from RNAcentral.
GAGUUUGAUCAUGGCUCAGAUUGAACGCUGGCGGCAGGCUCAACACAUGCAAGUCGAACGGUAGCAGGAGAAAGCUUGCUUUCUUGCUGACGAGUGGCGGACGGGUGAGUAAUGCUUGGGAAUCUGGCUUAUGGAGGGGGAUAACUACGGGAAACUGUAGCUAAUACCGCGUAGUGUCGAGAGACGAAAGUGCGGGACCGUAAGGCCGCAUGCCAUGAGAUGAGCCCAAGUGGGAUUAGGUAGUUGGUGGGGUAAAGGCCUACCAAGCCUGCGAUCUCUAGCUGGUCUGAGAGGAUGGCCAGCCACACUGGAACUGAGACACGGUCCAGACUCCUACGGGAGGCAGCAGUGGGGAAUAUUGCGCAAUGGGGGGAACCCUGACGCAGCCAUGCCGCGUGAAUGAAGAAGGCCUUCGGGUUGUAAAGUUCUUUCGGUAUUGAGGAAGGGAUGUGUGCUAAUAGUACAUAUCAUUGACGUUAAAUACAGAAGAAGCACCGGCUAACUCCGUGCCAGCAGCCGCGGUAAUACGGAGGGUGCGAGCGUUAAUCGGAAUAACUGGGCGUAAAGGGCACGCAGGCGGUUAUUUAAGUGAGGUGUGAAAGCCCCGGGCUUAACCUGGGAAUUGCAUUUCAGACUGGGUAACUAGAGUACUUUAGGGAGGGGUAGAAUUCCACGUGUAGCGGUGAAAUGCGUAGAGAUGUGGAGGAAUACCGAAGGCGAAGGCAGCCCCUUGGGAAAGUACUGACGCUCAUGUGCGAAAGGCGUGGGGAGCAAAACAGGAUUAGAUACCCUGGUAGUUCCACGCUGUAAACGCUGUCGAUUUGGGGAUUGAGCUUUAAGCUUGGUGCCCGUAGCUAACGUGAUAAAAUCGACCGCCUGGGGAGUACGGCCGCAAGGUUAAAAACUCAAAUGAAAUUGACGGGGGCCCGCACAAGCGGUGGAGCAUGUGGUUUAAUUCGAUGCAAACGCGAAGAACCUUACCUACUCUUGACAUCCAUGGAAUCCUGUAGAGAUACGGGAGUGCCUUUCGGGAACCAUGAGACAGGUGCUGCAUGGCUGUUCGUCAGCUCGUGUUGUGAAAUGUUGGGUUAAGUCCCGCAACGAGCGCAACCCUUAUCCUUUGUUGCCAGCGAUUUGGUUCGGGAAACUCAAAGGAGACUGCCAGUGAUAAAACUGGAGGAAGGUGGGGAUGACGUCGAAGUCAUUCAUGGCCCUUACGAGUAGGGCUACACACGUGCUACGAAUGGCGUAUACAGAGGGUGGCGAA